This 702-nucleotide ribosomal RNA is filed under the name unidentified rumen bacterium RF12. RNAcentral's name for it is "bacterial SSU rRNA". It matches the Rfam family "Bacterial small subunit ribosomal RNA", at positions 788 to 1491 of the family's 1533-position model. The record is from RNAcentral.
UGGUAGUCCACGCUGUAAACGAUGAUUACUAGGUGUUGGGGACGAAUACGUCUUCGGUGCCGUCGCAAACGCAAUAAGUAAUCCACCUGGGGAGUACGUUCGCAAGAAUGAAACUCAAAGGAAUUGACGGGGACCGCACAAGCGGUGGAGCAUGUGGUUUAAUUCGAAGCAACGCGAAAAACCUUACCAAAUCUUGACAUCCCGAUGACCGCACAUGUAAAGUGUGUUCUCUUCGGAGCAUUGGAGACAGGUGGUGCAUGGUUGUCGUCAGCUCGUGUCGUGAGAUGUUGGGUUAAGUCCCGCAACGAGCGCAACCCUUGCCUUUAGUAGCCAGCAGUAAGAUGGGCACUCUAGAGGGACUGCCAGGGAUAACCUGGAGGAAGGUGGGGAUGACGUCAAAUCAUCAUGCCCCUUAUGAUUUGGGCUACACACGUGCUACAAUGGCGUAAACAAAGAGAAGCGAAAUGGUGACAUUAAGCAAAUCUCAAAAAUAACGUCUCAGUUCGGAUUGUAGUCUGCAACUCGACUACAUGAAGCUGGAAUCGCUAGUAAUCGCGAAUCAGCAUGUCGCGGUGAAUACGUUCCCGGGUCUUGUACACACCGCCCGUCACACCAUGGGAGUCGGUAAUGCCCGAAGUCUGUGACCUAACCGAAAGGAAGGAGCAGCCGAAGGCAGGACUGAUAACUGGGGUGAAGUCGUAA